RNAcentral lists this ribosomal RNA (252 nucleotides) under uncultured prokaryote. RNAcentral describes it as "partial 16S ribosomal RNA". It matches the Rfam family "Bacterial small subunit ribosomal RNA", at positions 524 to 776 of the family's 1533-position model. The record is from RNAcentral.
UACGGGGGGUCCUAGCGUUGUUCGGAAUUACUGGGCGUAAAGCGUUUGUAGGCGGCUUUGUAAGUUAAAUGUGAAAGCCUGGGCCUAACCCCAGAAGUGCAUUUAAUACUGCAAAGCUUGAGUAUGAGAGAGGAUGAUGGAAUGGCUGGUGUAGUGGUGAAAUACGUAGAUAUCAGCCGGAACAUCGGUGGCGAAAGCGGUCAUCUGGCUCAAUACUGACGCUGAGAAACGAAAGCGUGGGGAUCAAACAGG